Leucoraja erinaceus (little skate) is the source of this 531-nucleotide long non-coding RNA. RefSeq lists it as uncharacterized. The transcript has 3 exons. The record is from RefSeq and is a predicted model, not a curated record. Lineage: Eukaryota; Metazoa; Chordata; Chondrichthyes; Rajiformes; Rajidae.
AAAUUUGUGGCCAGUUCUCGUGUAACCAUUUGCUUUCCUAUCGGAGUAUGGAAUUACAAACUGAUAUUUCCAUCAACUCCUUGGGAUUGAUUUUGGCAGUCGUGAUAUAGUGAAUGCAAUGAGAUCAGUCACCAGUCAAGCAUCCUAUCAUCCUCUGUUCUAUUUGCUUGUGUGGAAAUGCAUGAUGGAGAGAGGAAGCAGCAUUGUAUCCCGGGUUAUCAUGCCGGUGCUAUCGUCACUUCUGCAACAUUACAACAAUAAAUCAAAGCUAUAGCAAGGUCUCGAAGGAAGAAAGUUCAAUCCGCAGACGCUGAAAAGCCUAAAGCAGGUGAAUCGCCUCAAGAGGCAGUUCCUGAUGGCGAAGCAGAUGAGCUGACUUGCAAAGAGACUGCUUUGGUCCGUGACAAGUGACGGUCAACAAACAGCCACUCUCUCACUACAAAAGAUUUGGAAUCUGGUGAAGAAUAUUCAGACGAAGUGUAGAUGGAAUGUAAACCAAACGAUUGGGAAAAUAAAUGAUUAUAUAAAGUC